UACGGGGGAUGCAAGUGUUAUCCGGAAUAAUUGGGCGUAAAGAGCUCGUAGGCGGUUUGUCGCGUCGAAUGUGAGAACCCGGGGCUCAACCCCGGGCCUGCAUUCGAUACGGGCAGACUAGAGUUCGGUAGGGGAGUCUGGAAUUCCUGGUGUAGCGGUGAAAUGCGCAGAUAUCAGGAGGAACACCGGUGGCGAAGGCGGGACUCUGGGCCGAUACUGACGCUGAGGAGCGAAAGCGUGGGGAGCAAACAGG
RNAcentral lists this ribosomal RNA (253 nucleotides) under uncultured bacterium. RNAcentral's name for it is "partial 16S ribosomal RNA". It matches the Rfam family "Bacterial small subunit ribosomal RNA", at positions 524 to 776 of the family's 1533-position model. The record is from RNAcentral.